UGUGGUUUGUGCAGCCCUUUGAGACACUAGUGAUUUAGGGCUAUAUAAGUAAACAUUGAUUGAUUGAUUGAUUGAUAUACAUAUACACAUGCAUAUAUAUAUAUACAGCCACGAUCAAAAGUUUACAUACACUUGUAAAGAACAUAAUGCCAUGGCUGUCUUGAGUUUUCAAUCAUUUCUACAACUCUUAUUUUUUUGUGAUAGAGUGAUUGGAGCACAUACUUGUUGGUCACUAUAAACACUCGUAAAGUUUGGUUCUUUUAUGAAUUUAUUAUGGGUCUACUGAACAUGUGAGCAAUUGUGCUGGGUCAAAAGUAUACAUACAGCAAUGUUAAUAUUUGCUUACAUGUCCCUUGGAGAGUUUCACUGAAAUAAGGCGCUUUUGGUUGCCAUCCACAAGCUUCUGCUUGAAUUUUUGACCCCUCCUCUUGACAAAAUUGGUGCAGUUUAGCAAAAUGUGUUGGUUUUCUGACACAGACUUGUUUCUUCAGCAUUGUCCACACGACUUUGGGAAGGCCAUUUUAAAACCUUAAUUCCAGCCGGAUUUAGACAUUCCUUGACCACUUUUGACGUGUGUUUUAGGUCAUUGUCCUGUUGGAACACCCAACUGUGCCCAAGUUCCAACCUCCGGGCUGAUGAUUUUAGGUUUUCCUGAAGAAUUUUGAGGUGUAUCGUCCUUGGGAGAGGCUCACUUUACACCCAGUGAGGAUGUGUCUGAGUGUCGCCUGUGUUCAGCACAGGGGGCAUGAUGGAUCUUCACCCAGCCCUUGGUUGAGACAAAUGGUACACAGUUUCCACAUGGUGAGGACAUAGAUGUUCCAAUUCACUAUCUUACGGAUCACCUCUACUUCUGCGUGGACGUGACCUGCCCUGCUAAGACUUUUCGGUGCUACCCUUAUAAGAAACCCUGGGUAACACAGGAGGUGAAAGCUAUGCUCAACAAGAAGAAGCACAGCGGGAGAUGAAAAGGACGCGUGAGGAAGGCUAAGGACAGCUACAGGAAGAAGCUGGAGCAGAACAACAUGAGGGAGGUCUGGGAAGGUGUGAAAACCAUCACGGUCCACAAGACAAAGACCAGAGCAGUAGGGGGGACAAUAGAGAAGGCCAACUUCUUCAACCGGUUCAACCAGCACAUGUCCUUCCCACCCCCACUCCUCAUCGCAGCCACCCCCUCUUCUUCUCCCCCCCAGCCAUGGCUGCACCCCCCACUCCUCCUCCUCCUCCUCUUUCUCCACCAGACAUUAGUCAUCCCCGUGGACCAGGUCAGAGGUCAACUGAGGAAGCUGCAUCCUAAAACUAUCUGGUGCGCACCAGAAUCUAUGUAGUGUGCUCUGCGUAUCA
Nerophis ophidion (straightnose pipefish) is the source of this 1341-nucleotide long non-coding RNA. RefSeq lists it as uncharacterized. Lineage: Eukaryota; Metazoa; Chordata; Actinopteri; Syngnathiformes; Syngnathidae. The record is from RefSeq and is a predicted model, not a curated record. The transcript has 3 exons.